GGUGGGGUGUACCUAACUCAUGCAAUAGUGCAACGCACGAGCGACACAUGAGAAGCCUAAUAGCAAGCUAUUGAAGUGGCUUCUCCCCCUCAAAAAAGUAAUUUAAUAUCAUGUGACCCAUUGGAUCACAUAUCAGAUAUUAAACUGAUAAGAACAGAUACUACACUUGAUCUUAGCCAAAAGGCCGAGAAAGGUAUGAGUUGAAAGAAGAGUUGGCUUCUGCUUUUAUAUCAACUGUCACUUAGUUUCUUUCUUCAUUACCCGAUAUGGGACUUAUAUGCAGUACCACCCUCCAUUGAUAUCAAUUUCUCAACAAAUACUUUUCUACACUGCUGUUGAAAAUUAGUUGGUUAUAAUUCUAAUUAAGGGCUAUUGUAUAAAUUUUGAUGUUAUUAUCUUAAUCAUGGAUCAUCAUUAUUACUUUCUUCAAUCAACUCUUGGAUGAUACUCUUUAAUUUUGUAUCAUUAUCUAUCGAAAAAGCACAUUAUUUUCUUAACAAGAUUGAUGUUGUUUUUUAUUUUUAGAGAGAGUACAUUUUUUUUUUUUUAACAAGAUUGAUGUUGUUUUUCUUUUAAUUUUGGUUUCAAGUUCUAUGCAUAACAAUUAGAGAGAACAUUUUAGAGCUUUGUUACAGCAAAGUCACCUAAAGAAGUUUGAACAAUUGGUUUUAUUGGCAACAAUAUGGUACAUUUGAAAUAUUAGAAACAAUAUUAUAUUUCAAAGUUGGGUGGAUAAUGUGCGAAAAUUGGUGGAUCAAAUUAAAAAUAUUGUUUGGAUAUGGUUCAUGGGCAAAUUACAAGCAGCAUUUUGAUCAAACCGGUGCAACGCACGGGUUAUAUACCUAGUGAACAAUAGUUUUAAGAGAUGUGAAUUUAAACCUGUUAACCUUGCAGGAUUAUACUAAUAUAUAUAUAUAUGGGGUUUGCUACAAUAGACCCAUUCCAUUUUAUGAAGGUCUAUUUUAGCAAGCAACACCUUUUCAUUUGGACACAAAGACCCUUGUUUUUAUUUUUUGGACAAAUUAAAUCAGAAGGGCACAAAUGUUAUUUCCGUUUAAAGGUUAGAUUUUCUUUCUUUAUUCUUUUAUGAGAAACUCUUUAUGUCCCUCUCAUUCUCUUUCUUUCUUCCUUCUCUGUUCUCUUAUUUUCUUGUGUUUGCCACUCAUCACAUUCCAUGGAUUUACGUUGUGUUUCUACUGUGAAAUCAUAUGCAGCAAAUCUUGUAUUGAAGAAAAGGUAUACUCCUUUCUAUUGUGCCUCUUUUUAUCUAUGUCACAAUCAAUUGAAUCUCAAUCCAAUAAAACUAAAACUCACUUCCACUCAUGUUUUGAGCUAUUAGAGGAGGUGGAGGAGCAAGUUUUGGAAUCAAUUUGCCAAAACAUUGGAUCAAAAUGCAACAAAACUUGUUCACAAUUGGCAGCUGUAAUUGAUGCAAACAUAGCCAUUAAUUAUGUUAUCUUGCUAAGGGUAAAUUCAAGUAAAAAAUGCAAAUGAAAAGACAGUUGAUUUGAGAAAGACCAACAACUAGUCCUCCCUGCAAACUAAGAUGGGCAACGCAAACAAAUAGCACACAGAAAAAUAAAUAGCAUACCGACACCGUUCUCACCGAGAAAAAUCAACUGACUGUAUUAGAGUGCCAAUACCAAAAGAAAUAAAGAAAGAAUUGAGCUAUGCGCGUUUCUAAUAGGAGGCGGAGGUGAAUCAUGCCGCAGCGGCACCGGUUGAUGCUAUGACGCAUUUCUAGGAAGGUUAAAGAAAUUCGCAUUUUUGAGGUGUAAAGGAAGACAAUCGCGUUUCUGAUCGGAGGUAGAACUGAAACAUCCUAUGGUGGCGUCGGCCCCGGAAAUGAAACUCAAAGAGAAGGGAACGGAAGGAAGGAAGAAAGAGAACGAGAGGGACCUGAAGAGUUUCUGUGAAAAAAAUAAAUAAAAAAUCUAACAUUUAAACAAAAAGUACAUUUGUGCCCUUUAUAUUUAAUUUGCCCAAAAAAUAAAAGCAAGGGUUUUUGUGUCCAAGUGAAAAGGUGUUGCUUGCUAAAAUAGACCUUGAUAAAAUGGAGUGGGUCUAUUGUAGCAAACCCCUAUAUAUAUAUAUAUAUAUAUAUAUAUAUAUAGUUGGAUUUCAUAUACUUUGAAGACUACUUAUUAUAUUCAUAUAUAUGAUUUUGGGACUAAAUUUAAGAGGGAAUGACGGAUCAAGAAAUUUUUAUUUUUUAGGGGAGAUCAAGAAUUAAAAUUAUGGUUAAUUUCAUUGAUUAAUCACGUAGUGGAUCAUUAGGGAGGUUUAAGACCCUAAUGUUUUUAAUUAAUACAUAAUUUCAAUGUUCUUGCAUAAUCAUUUACCUAAUGAUAGUUUGUUUUGGGAUUUGGCUUUUGGGCUUCCCAUGCUUUUGUCAAAAAAACGUGAGCCAUGCAUUUAUGUUGAGCGGUUGAUUGAUAAAAGCAAUGCAUUUGGAGUAACAUCUAUGUUGAACGUUGAGUAUCAAGGAAAAGUUACACUAACGAUAGUAUUAAGGGUAGAAAGGGAAAAAGAGAGCUAGUUAUGCUCUGCCUUGGUUGACGCAUAUAAAGGAACAUAGGGAUAUUUACUUUUAUAUUAAAACUUUUUUUUUUUUUUUAUUCCUUAACCAGUGUCUCAGGAAUACCAGUUAACAUGACCUUAAAAUAUAUUUAGUUUUAAGAUUUUCUUGGACUUUACUCCUCUAAUAUUCAAAAUAUUAUGAAUAUCUCUCCCACAUAAAUUAAAGAUUAUUUUUAUACGCAUAAAAAUAUAAAGAAACCAACAUAACAUAAAUUUGGACUUAAUUGUCAAAAACAAAAAAUAAUAAUUGGACUUAGAAACUAAGACAUGAGGUUUAUUUUUUUUAUUUUUUUAUUUUUACGCAAGAUACUUCUAUCAUAACACAUAGAACAUACAUUUUGCCUUCAAAAAACAGAGUGUACAUUCUUACUAGCAUUUUAAUAAAAACUCUAUUUAUUUUGAAUUUUUAUAGAAACUAAUGUGGAAACUCAGAGUCCAAGAAAUUUUUUAGAAUAAAAAUAUAUUUAACUUUUAUUUUUUUGUCAAUUGAUUAUAUUUGGUUUUUAUCUCAACUUCAUAAUGAAUUUCUCAAGAAUCUUGGUGUAUAAUUUUUCUUAUGGCAAACAUGCCACAAUUCUCUCCCUAUUAGAAGUAUCUUGUGUCAUCGAAAAGUCCUUUUAACGCCUACUUACCCUUUCUACGGUGAAGAUGAAACUAUUUUUUAUUGUCUAAUGUUACGUUCAUGCUCGGUUGAAAUUUGGACUAAUUGUGGGUUUAGUGAUGUUCUAUCAAUUUGUCACAAGGUUGUUCUAGACAAUACUUCAAAGAUCCUAGCGACAUUAGUGGAUGAAGUGGGUAUCUUAGCUCCAUUGAUAAUGUGGAAUAUUUGGAUCUCUCACAACAAAUUUAUUUUUAAGGGAACAACUCCUAUGAAGUACUAGAUCAUAACAUCUAUCUUUACUCAGCUACAAGUUUCCAAGCAGGCAUUGGGAAGUCCAACCUCCCACUCCCAUCGAACAACUCGUGAGGUGUGUUGGAAUAAAGGGGAUGAGGAUGCCAUGAUUCUCAAUGUAGAUGGAAGUGCUUAUACUAAUCCAAGGAAUGGAGGGUUUAGCGGCUUGGUGCUUAACCAUGAUGGAACCUUUCAAUUUCGUUUCUAUGGGAGUGUAGGUUUGUCCAAUAUUCUUCAUGCGGAAAAACAAGCGCUUUUAGUGGGCAUCAGACUGUGUUGGCAAGCUGGAUUUAAAAAAAGUAAUGUGUUUCUCAUAUUCCUUGCAUGUGGUUCAACUUGUCAUAGAGGAAACAUCUCAGAUUCAUCAUUAUGCUAAUGAGCUAGAGAUUAUAAGAGAUUUCAUGAAAAAAGAUUGAACAAUAGCUCUGCAUCACGCCUUUCACGAGAGAAUGCUUACGCAGAUGUGCUAGCAAAGUUAAAAGCUAUUAAAGUAGAUCCUCUUUUCCUUUUCUCGUGUAAAAAAAAGCCCAAAUAGUAUUUUUAUUAAAAAGGUCUCAACAUAAAUAAAACGAGAAGAAAGAAAAUGCAUAACUUUUACGAAGAUAAAAACAUUAUACAUCAACAUGAAUUUUAAGGAUCUUCGUAAAUCAAAGCAUCUAAAUAUAGUCAACUGACCAUCUAAACAUAGAGCCAGGGAAAAAUUAAAAAUAUAGCUAUCUUCAACAUAAUUAAAAAUACAAAAAUUAAACUAAAAUUGGUGGGGUGUACCUAACUCAUGCAAUAGUGCAACGCACAAGCGACACAUGAGAAGCCUAAUAGCAAGCUAUUGAAGUGGCUUCUCCCCUCAAAAAAGUAAUUUAAUAUCGUGUGACCCAUUGGGUCACAUAUCAGAUAUUAAACUGAUAAGAACAGAUACUACACUUGAUCUUAGCCAAAAGGCCGAGAAAGGUAU
Molecule: long non-coding RNA, 4424 nt
Filed under: Medicago truncatula (barrel medic)
Lineage: Eukaryota; Viridiplantae; Streptophyta; Magnoliopsida; Fabales; Fabaceae
Description: lncRNA gene35213
Source: RNAcentral